RNAcentral lists this ribosomal RNA (459 nucleotides) under uncultured bacterium. RNAcentral describes it as "partial 16S ribosomal RNA". It matches the Rfam family "Bacterial small subunit ribosomal RNA", at positions 338 to 795 of the family's 1533-position model. The record is from RNAcentral.
CCUACGGGUGGCAGCAGUGAGGAAUAUUGGUCAAUGGGCGGGAGCCUGAACCAGCCAAGCCGCGUGAGGGAAGAAGGUACAGCGUAUCGUACACCUCUUUUGUCAGGGAACAAAGGCGGGGACUAGUCCCCGGAUGAGGUUACCUGAAGAAAAAGCAUCGGCUAACUCCGUGCCAGCAGCCGCGGUAAUAGGGAGGAUGCGAGCGUUAUCCGGAUUUAUUGGGUUUAAAGGGUGCGCAGGCGGACUGUUAAGUCAGCGGGAAAAGCCAGGGGCUCAACCCCGGCGAGCCGUUGAAACUGGCAGGCUGGAGUUGGAGAGAAGUACGCGGAAUGCGCGGUGUAGCGGUGAAAUGCUUAGAUAUCGCGCAGAACCCCGAUUGCGAAGGCAGCGUACCGGCUCCACACUGACGCUGAGGCACGAAAGCGUGGGUAUCGAACAGGAUUAGAUACCCCUGUAGUC